GAUGAAGAACGCAGCGAAAUGCGAUAAGUAAUGUGAAUUGCAGAAUUCAGUGAAUCAUCGAAUCUUUGAACGCACAUUGCGCCCGCCAGUAUUCUGGCGGGCAUGCCUGUUCGAGCGUCAUUUCAACCAUCAAGCCCCAGGCUUGUGUUGGGGUCCUGCGGCUGCCGCAGGCCCUGAAAAACAGUGGCGGGCUCGCUGUCACACCGAGCGUAGUAAUACAUCUCGCUUUGGACGUGCGGCGGGUUCUUGCCGUUAAACACCCCCCUUCUCAAGGUUGACCUCGGAUCAGGUAGGAAUACCCGCUGAACUUAAGCAUAUCAAUAAGCGGAGGA
RNAcentral lists this unclassified non-coding RNA (332 nucleotides) under soil metagenome. Its description in RNAcentral is "partial contains 5.8S ribosomal RNA, internal transcribed spacer 2, and large subunit ribosomal RNA". The stretch from base 1 to 120 matches the Rfam family "5.8S ribosomal RNA", at positions 35 to 154 of the family's 154-position model. The record is from RNAcentral.